RNAcentral lists this long non-coding RNA (854 nucleotides) under Gossypium barbadense (sea-island cotton). RNAcentral describes it as "long non-coding RNA (GBAR_LNC006885)". Lineage: Eukaryota; Viridiplantae; Streptophyta; Magnoliopsida; Malvales; Malvaceae. The record is from RNAcentral.
AGGCUACAGCGUUUCCCCUAUUUUUCCCCAGUUCUAUUUCUCCCUUCUUCCUCAUCCUAAAUCCUUAAAUCCCUAACUAAUUUUCCCCGAUUUGAAAUCCCGAAGAUUCACCCCUUCCACCCGCCUUCCAGUCAAUUCCCUGUAAUCCCAUCUAUCAUUUCCCUAUUUUUCCCCAAUUUUAUCACCCAUUCCCGAAUUCAACAUCCCAAAUCCCUAACGAUUUUUCCCCGAUUUGAAAUCCAUAAGAUUCGCCCCUCCCACCAACCUUCCAGUCAAUACCCCAUAAUCCCAUCUAUAGAAAAUCGAAUUAAGAAAGGGCAAGGGUUUCAGAAGUUGGGUUUCGGGUUGAAGAAAAUAGUUGAAGUUAAGUAUUUACCGAUAUUUUGUAUUAGUAUUAGUUUUUGUUGUUGAUUUAGCUAUUUUUUGGUUGCCUUUGUUAAUUUGUUUUUGUCUUUUUACAGAGAAAAGUCUCGCAGAGGCUGCAAGAGUUAGGGUAAAAAACCAAAAAAAAUUCCAUUACUUUUGGAUGAUAGUAAGCUUCGAUUUAUUGUGUGGUUUUAUUGGGUUCUAUUAAUUUGCAUUUGCGUAUAAUUGUUUGAUUGGGUUCUAUUAAUUUAUGGUUUGAUAGGCAUUUUACAGAGAAAAGUUUUGCAGAGCAAGAGUUAGGGUAAAAUACCCAGACAGAACUCCAUUACUGUUGGACGACGGUAAGCUUCAAUUUUUUGUUGUUUGUAGUUCGAGACAUGAAAUUAACCUUUGGUAAUAAUUGGUGGAAUUAAUCUUGGGAAUUAACCAUUCUAUUUAAAUAGAUAUAAUUUUAACAUAUUCGUAUGCAUGUUGAUAAAUUAUGUUCG